This 292-nucleotide ribosomal RNA is filed under the name uncultured bacterium. RNAcentral describes it as "partial 16S ribosomal RNA". It matches the Rfam family "Bacterial small subunit ribosomal RNA", at positions 505 to 796 of the family's 1533-position model. The record is from RNAcentral.
GUGUCAGCCGCCGCGGUAAAACGUAGGAGGCAAGCGUUAUCCGGAUUUACUGGGCGUAAAGCGUGUGCAGGCGGUUUGGAAAGUUGGAUGUGAAAGCUCCCGGCUCAACUGGGAGAGGUCGUUCAAAACUUCCAGACUUGAGGAUGGUAGAGGGAGGUGGAAUUCCGGGUGUAGUGGUGAAAUGCGUAGAUAUCCGGAGGAACACCAGUGGCGAAAGCGGCCUCCUGGACCAUUUCUGACGCUCAGACACGAAAGCUAGGGGAGCAAACGGGAUUAGAUACCCGGGUAGUCC